This 1002-nucleotide ribosomal RNA is filed under the name uncultured eukaryote. Its description in RNAcentral is "bacterial SSU rRNA". It matches the Rfam family "Eukaryotic small subunit ribosomal RNA", at positions 384 to 1493 of the family's 1831-position model. The record is from RNAcentral.
UGGAGAGGGGGCCUGAGAGAUGGCUACCACUUCCAAGGAAGGCAGCAGGCGCGCAAAUUACCCAAUCCCGACUGGGGGAGGUAGUGACAGGACAUGACGGGGCGGGGCGCUUAGCGCUCUGCGACUGGGUUGAGGAAAAGAUAAAGCGAUUGACGAGAAACGAUUGGAGGGCAAGUCUGGUGCCAGCAGCCGCGGUAAUUCCAGCUCCAAUGGUAUAUCUUAGGGGUGGGAGCGGUUGAAACGUUCUGGAGACAGGGUCGGGGGACCAAUGGGAAGAGGGGAAAACGUGGACAUGAUGUGGUGGGCGAAAAUGGCAUGGUGUGUGGGAUGGCGUGAUGACAGAGAUGGCAGUCUCGUGCUUGGAUAGGUUAGCAUGGAAUAACGGGAUGGUCCGUUGGUUGGAGCGUAGGUUGAUAGGGACAGUUGGGGGCAUUGGUAUUUGGCAGUCAGAGGUGAAAUUCUAGGAUUUGCCAAAGACGGACGGGGGCGAAAGCAUUUGCCAAGGAUGUUUUCAUUGAUCAAGAACGAAAGUUGGGGGAUCGAAGACGAUUAGAUACCGUCGUAGUCUCGACAGUAAACGAUGCCGGCGGGGCGCGGGGGGGCCGAGGGAGGCGCUUCCGUGCCCUGGAGAAAUCAGAGCGUGUGGGUUCUGGGGGGAGUAUGGUCGCAAGGCAGAAACUUGAAGGAAUUGACGGAAGGGCACCACCAGGAGUGGAGCCUGCGGCUUAAUUUGACUCAACACGGGGAAACUCACCAGGUCCGGACAUGGGAAGGAUUGACAGACUGAGAGCUCUUUCACGAUUCUGUGGGAGGUGGUGCAUGGCCGUUGUUGGUUGGUGGAGUGAUUUGUCAGGUUUAUUCCGGUAACGGGCGAGACGGGGGGUGGGGGAAACUAUUAUCGUAGGCAUCUGCGAUAGUGGGCCACCGCGACACGCGGCGCCAAGCCGCGGGAAGCACCCCGCAAUAACAGGUCCGUUAUGCCCAACAGGUCCGUUAUGCCCA